This is a long non-coding RNA of Calidris pugnax (ruff), 291 nucleotides long. RefSeq lists it as uncharacterized. NCBI's taxonomy places the organism in Eukaryota, Metazoa, Chordata, Aves, Charadriiformes, Scolopacidae. The record is from RefSeq and is a predicted model, not a curated record. The transcript is spliced from 2 exons.
AGAAUUAACUGAUGGUACCCAGCUGUCUUCCAGUUUCAUGGCAAAGAGAAACAUUGCAUGCCACACUGGAGAUGCUGAUCUUGAUUUUUUAAUCAUACCUGUGUGAAUCUGCUUUUGUGGUACACAAAAUCUGGUACUGAUUAAAUUCAAAGAAUAUCUGAUCUAUUAUUAAGGUAUCCUAGAAGUAUAGCUAGGAGUACUAUAAAGACUAUAUAUACAGUAGCUAGACAUUUCAGAAACUGUUUAUAUAUAUAUAUAAUGCUCUGUACUGUUGCAUUUUAUUUUCAGACG